This 206-nucleotide ribosomal RNA is filed under the name uncultured Citrobacter sp. Its description in RNAcentral is "partial 16S ribosomal RNA". It matches the Rfam family "Bacterial small subunit ribosomal RNA", at positions 338 to 531 of the family's 1533-position model. The record is from RNAcentral. Lineage: Bacteria; Pseudomonadati; Pseudomonadota; Gammaproteobacteria; Enterobacterales; Enterobacteriaceae.
CCUACGGGAGGCAGCAGUGGGGAAUAUUGCACAAUGGGGGAAACCCUGAUGCAGCCAUGCCGCGUGUAUGAAGAAGGCCUUCGGGUUGUAAAGUACUUUCAGCGGGGAGGAAGGUGUUGUGGUUAAUAACCUCAGCAAUUGACGUUACCCGCAGAAGAAGCACCGGCUAACUCCGUGCCAGCAGCCGCGGUAAUAAUCUCUAGAGG